GACUCGCGUAUUAAAAUGUUUCGGUA
This 26-nucleotide small RNA is filed under the name Bombyx mori (domestic silkworm). Its description in RNAcentral is "ovarian small RNA-5102". The record is from RNAcentral. Lineage: Eukaryota; Metazoa; Arthropoda; Insecta; Lepidoptera; Bombycidae.